This 274-nucleotide ribosomal RNA is filed under the name uncultured bacterium. Its description in RNAcentral is "partial 16S ribosomal RNA". It matches the Rfam family "Bacterial small subunit ribosomal RNA", at positions 524 to 796 of the family's 1533-position model. The record is from RNAcentral.
UACGGAGGGUGCAAGCGUUGUUCGGAAUUAUUGGGCGUAAAGCGCGCGCAGGCGGUGAAGUAAGUCUAGAGGUGAAAGGCCGGGGCUCAACCCCGAGCUGGCCUCGGAUACUGCUUUACUGGAGACAUGUAGAGGCGAGCGGAAUUCCGGGUGUAGCGGUGGAAUGCGUAGAGAUCCGGAAGAACACCGGAGGCGAAGGCGGCUCGCUGGGCAUGGUCUGACGCUGAGGCGCGAAGGCGUGGGGAGCGAACAGGAUUAGAUACCCCCGUAGUCC